RNAcentral lists this transfer RNA (71 nucleotides) under Marmota monax (woodchuck). Its description in RNAcentral is "tRNA.Ala". The record is from RNAcentral. Lineage: Eukaryota; Metazoa; Chordata; Mammalia; Rodentia; Sciuridae.
UGUGGUAUAACUCAGUGGCAGAGCACUUGCCUAGCAUGUGCAAGUUCCUGGGUUCAAUACCCAGUAUAUAA